This 235-nucleotide unclassified non-coding RNA is filed under the name Glomus sp. RNAcentral describes it as "partial contains 5.8S ribosomal RNA and internal transcribed spacer 2". The stretch from base 1 to 71 matches the Rfam family "5.8S ribosomal RNA", at positions 84 to 154 of the family's 154-position model. Lineage: Eukaryota; Fungi; Glomeromycota; Glomeromycetes; Glomerales; Glomeraceae. The record is from RNAcentral.
GUGAAACAUCAAAUUUUUGAACGCAAAUUGCACUUUCUGGUAUUCCGGAAAGUAUGCAUGUUUGAGGGUCAGUUAAAUAAAAAUCGGUGUUGUUGUUGCCUUUCGUGGUGACGCGACGGAAUUGGGUCGUAUUACUUUCGGUUAAGUGACUUAAAAUUUUAGCAUGAUUUUCGAACGUAUUUAAAUCGCUUAUGUCCGAUUGAGAUAUCGAAUGCUUAUUAGGUUUGGUCAUUUC